RNAcentral lists this ribosomal RNA (1499 nucleotides) under uncultured bacterium. RNAcentral describes it as "16S ribosomal RNA". It matches the Rfam family "Bacterial small subunit ribosomal RNA". The record is from RNAcentral.
AGAGUUUGAUCCUGGCUCAGAUUGAACGCUGGCGGCAGGCCUAACACAUGCAAGUCGAGCGGAUGAAGAGAGCUUGCUCUCUGAUUCAGCGGCGGACGGGUGAGUAAUGCCUAGGAAUCUGCCUAUUAGUGGGGGACAACGUUUCGAAAGGAACGCUAAUACCGCAUACGUCCUACGGGAGAAAGCAGGGGACCUUCGGGCCUUGCGCUAAUAGAUGAGCCUAGGUCGGAUUAGCUAGUUGGUGAGGUAAUGGCUCACCAAGGCGACGAUCCGUAACUGGUCUGAGAGGAUGAUCAGUCACACUGGAACUGAGACACGGUCCAGACUCCUACGGGAGGCAGCAGUGGGGAAUAUUGGACAAUGGGCGAAAGCCUGAUCCAGCCAUGCCGCGUGUGUGAAGAAGGUCUUCGGAUUGUAAAGCACUUUAAGUUGGGAGGAAGGGCAUUAACCUAAUGCGUUAGUGUUUUGACGUUACCGACAGAAUAAGCACCGGCUAACUUCGUGCCAGCAGCCGCGGUAAUACGAAGGGUGCAAGCGUUAAUCAGAAUUACUGGGCGUAAAGCGCGCGUAGGUGGUUUGUUAAGUUGGAUGUGAAAGCCCCGGGCUCAACCUGGGAACUGCAUCCAAAACUGGCAAGCUAGAGUAUGGCAGAGGGUGGUGGAAUUCCUGUGUAGCGGUGAAAUGCGUAGAUAUAGGAAGGAACACCAGUGGCGAAGGCGACCACCUGGGCUAAUACUGACACUGAGGUGCGAAAGCGUGGGGAGCAACAGGAUUAGAUACCCUGGUAGUCCACGCCGUAAACGAUGUCGACUAGCCGUUGGGAUCCUUGAGAUCUUAGUGGCGCAGCUAACGCAUUAAGUCGACCGCCUGGGGAGUACGGCCGCAAGGUUAAAACUCAAAUGAAUUGACGGGGGCCCGCACAAGCGGUGGAGCAUGUGGUUUAAUUCGAAGCAACGCGAAGAACCUUACCAGGCCUUGACAUGCAGAGAACUUUCCAGAGAUGGAUUGGUGCCUUCGGGAACUCUGACACAGGUACUGCAUGGCUGUCGUCAGCUCGUGUCGUGAGAUGUUGGGUUAAGUCCCGUAACGAGCGCAACCCUUGUCCUUAGUUACCAGCACGUGAUGGUGGGCACUCUAAGGAGACUGCCGGUGACAAACCGGAGGAAGGUGGGGAUGACGUCAAGUCAUCAUGGCCCUUACGGCCUGGGCUACACACGUGCUACAAUGGUCGGUACAAAGGGUUGCCAAGCCGCGAGGUGGAGCUAAUCCCAUAAAACCGAUCGUAGUCCGGAUCGCAGUCUGCAACUCGACUGCGUGAAGUCGGAAUCGCUAGUAAUCGUGAAUCAGAAUGUCACGGUGAAUACGUUCCCGGGCCUUGUACACACCGCCCGUCACACCAUGGGAGUGGGUUGCUCCAGAAGUAGCUAGUCUAACCUUCGGGAGGACGGUUACCACGGAGUGAUUCAUGACUGGGGUGAAGUCGUAACAAGGUAACCGUA